UACGUAGGGCGCAAGCGUUAUCCGGAAUUAUUGGGCGUAAAGAGCUCGUAGGCGGUUUGUCGCGUCUGCCGUGAAAGUCCGGGGCUCAACUCCGGAUCUGCGGUGGGUACGGGCAGACUAGAGUGAUGUAGGGGAGACUGGAAUUCCUGGUGUAGCGGUGAAAUGCGCAGAUAUCAGGAGGAACACCGAUGGCGAAGGCAGGUCUCUGGGCAUUAACUGACGCUGAGGAGCGAAAGCAUGGGGAGCGAACCGG
RNAcentral lists this ribosomal RNA (253 nucleotides) under uncultured bacterium. RNAcentral's name for it is "partial 16S ribosomal RNA". It matches the Rfam family "Bacterial small subunit ribosomal RNA", at positions 524 to 776 of the family's 1533-position model. The record is from RNAcentral.